Molecule: small RNA, 113 nt
Filed under: Serratia rubidaea
Lineage: Bacteria; Pseudomonadati; Pseudomonadota; Gammaproteobacteria; Enterobacterales; Yersiniaceae
Also listed under: 3 other names
Description: RtT sRNA
Rfam family: RtT RNA
About the family: This family represents a bacterial cis-regulatory element known as RtT RNA.
Source: RNAcentral
AUGCCUCAGAGGUCGUGUGGGAUGAGAACCUGCGUUCAGGUUCGAGCCGAGCGAAGCGAGACGACAACGCGCAGCGUUGCCCAAAGGCCGAGUCAAUCCUGCACGACCCGCCA